CCUACGGGUGGCAGCAGUGAGGAAUAUUGGUCAAUGGGCUUACGCCUGAACCAGCCAAGUCGCGUGAGGGAAGACUGCCCUAUGGGUUGUAAACCUCUUUUGUCAGGGAGCAACGCCGGCUACGUGUAGCCGGACUGAGAGUACCUGAAGAAAAAGCAUCGGCUAACUCCGUGCCAGCAGCCGCGGUAAUACGGAGGGUGCGAGCGUUAAUCGGAAUUACUGGGCGUAAAGCGCUCGUAGGCGGUAUGUCAAGUCAAGGGUGAAAUCCCCGCGCUCAACGUGGGAACUGCCUUUGAAACUGGCAAACUGGAGUGUGUGAGAGGAUAGUGGAAUUCCAGGUGUAGGAGUGAAAUCCGUAGAUAUCUGGAGGAACAUCAGUGGCGAAGGCGACUAUCUGGCACAUAACUGACGCUGAGGAGCGAAAGCGUGGGUAGCAAACAGGAUUAGAUACCCCUGUAGUC
This 461-nucleotide ribosomal RNA is filed under the name uncultured bacterium. RNAcentral describes it as "partial 16S ribosomal RNA". It matches the Rfam family "Bacterial small subunit ribosomal RNA", at positions 338 to 795 of the family's 1533-position model. The record is from RNAcentral.